Non-coding RNA from Zea mays, 201 nucleotides. The record is from Rfam. NCBI's taxonomy places the organism in Eukaryota, Viridiplantae, Streptophyta, Magnoliopsida, Poales, Poaceae.
AUAUAUUUCUCAACCUUUUUGCUAAGAUAAAUUGUAAUAUUUUUCCCAUCAGUUCAAUAUCUGGUAUGUGGACUAUAUGUUCAUUUUGAUAUUAUAUUUUUAUGGGUAUUUUUAUGGGGAGUGUCCACCACACUUGUUUAUUGUGCCCUCAUGUGUUGCCCACACGACAGUCAAGAACAAUCAGGGUUGGACAAAAUACUC